RNAcentral lists this ribosomal RNA (496 nucleotides) under uncultured bacterium. RNAcentral's name for it is "partial 16S ribosomal RNA". It matches the Rfam family "Bacterial small subunit ribosomal RNA", at positions 29 to 507 of the family's 1533-position model. The record is from RNAcentral.
ACGAACGCUGGCGGCGUGCCUAAUACAUGCAAGUAGAACGCUGAAGAGAGGAGCUUGCUCUUCUUGGAUGAGUUGCGAACGGGUGAGUAACGCGUAGGUAACCUGCCUUGUAGCGGGGGAUAACUAUUGGAAACGAUAGCUAAUACCGCAUAACAAUGGAUGACACAUGUCAUUUAUUUGAAAGGGGCAAUUGUUCCACUACAAGAUGGACCUGCGUUGUAUUAGCUAGUAGGUGAGGUAAUGGCUCACCUAGGCGACGAUACAUAGCCGACCUGAGAGGGUGAUCGGCCACACUGGGACUGAGACACGGCCCAGACUCCUACGGGAGGCAGCAGUAGGGAAUCUUCGGCAAUGGGGGCAACCCUGACCGAGCAACGCCGCGGGAGUGAAGAAGGUUUUCGGAUCGUAAAGCUCUGUUGUAAGUCAAGAACGGGUGUGAGAGUGGAAAGUUCACACUGUGACGGUAGCUUACCAGAAAGGGACGGCUAACUACGUG